Hordeum vulgare subsp. vulgare (domesticated barley) is the source of this 971-nucleotide long non-coding RNA. RefSeq lists it as uncharacterized. The transcript is spliced from 2 exons. Lineage: Eukaryota; Viridiplantae; Streptophyta; Magnoliopsida; Poales; Poaceae. The record is from RefSeq and is a predicted model, not a curated record.
UAUUAUUGCGUACCAUAUUUCCAACACAACCGGCAUAUUUCCAACCCCAUGAUAGGACUCCCACAUGAUCCACGGAUCUGCUCCACACCUCCCCUUAUCUCCUCCUCCUUCCUCCCUCUGCCACCACCGGCUCCACCACCUCCCUCCAAAUCCCCUCCACCUAGCUCUGCCUCCUUUCUCCCCUCCUCCCACCACCGUCCAUGGCUCCUCUCUUGGCCAAGCUCUGACUCCUUCCUUCCUUGUCGGCUCCGGCCGACCGUGGAGCUCCCUCAGAUGGAUGUAUCGGCUACAGAAUCCGGCGCCGGUGAGCGGAUGAGCCGCCUCCCCCGGGCCACCCCGGUCGGAUCCGGCCCGCUGCCUUCGUGCCCACUUCCCCUUUGCCUCCGUGUAAAGCGAACCCCUCCUCCUACGGGUACACCAGCCACUAAAUCUCGCACCGGCAGAUCCCGUGAAGCAGCCAAUCUGUGUGAUGGAGGGCGUGGUGGCCAUGAGAGGUCGAGGUGGCGCCGAUCGGCGAGCAGGACGUCGCCCCACUGUAUCCGUUAGAGGGGAGCAGUGCACUUCGGUACACCUCCUCCCGACAUGCCCCGUGCUACUUCCCCACAACUCCUACUACCUGAUGGGAGAACGACCAAUAGUGCCUGCGGGAUGAAGACGACAAAGGCAGCUCUGGAAACUGGCAGGCGGGCAAAACUAGAAGCCAGAUCUAGGAGAGGCACUGCAACUGCUCUUCAAGGGUAUGUUGCCUAUUAUAUUUAGUUGUAGCUGGAUUCAUGGAUAUCUGAUAUCAGUUUUAACAGCCAGUUGGUAAGAGAAAUCUCAGCAAUUUUGGAAGAGCCUAGUUACAUACUGUUAGUUUCAUCUCGUGUAACUUGACUUGGUCACUCAUUUUGCUCUGAAAUGAAGUAUCGUGUGUUUUACUGUUUAUCUGGAGGAUCCAUAAUAUAUUGAUUGAGAUGAGGUUUUGUCCC